Blyttiomyces helicus is the source of this 92-nucleotide non-coding RNA. The record is from the annotation of a GenBank genome assembly. NCBI's taxonomy places the organism in Eukaryota, Fungi, Chytridiomycota, Chytridiomycetes.
UCUCCAAUAGUUCAGUGGUCAGAACGUCGUACUUAUACAGGAGUCCCCCGUAUGCAAUGCGAAUGUCCCGGGUUCAAACCCCGGUUGGAGAA